RNAcentral lists this ribosomal RNA (468 nucleotides) under uncultured bacterium. Its description in RNAcentral is "partial 16S ribosomal RNA". It matches the Rfam family "Bacterial small subunit ribosomal RNA", at positions 28 to 507 of the family's 1533-position model. The record is from RNAcentral.
GACGAACGCUGGCGGCGUGCUUAACACAUGCAAGUCGAACGGACAGGUCCUGCUCUUGUGGGGCGCUCGAGUGGCGAACGGGGGAGUAACACGUGAGUAACCUGCCCUUGACUUUGGGAUAACUUCAGGAAACUGCGGCUAAUACCGGAUAGGAGCUCCUGCUGCAUGGUGGGGGUUGGAAAGUUUCGGCGGUUGGGGAUGGAUUCGCGGCUUAUCAGCUUGUUGGUGGGGUAGUGGAUUACCAAGGCUUUGACGGGUAGCCGGCCUGAGAGCGUGACCGGCCACAUUGGUACUGAGAUACGGACCAGACUCCUACGGGAGGCAGCAGGGGGGAAUAUUGCACAAUGGGCGGGAGCCUGAUGCAGCAGCGCCGCGUGCGGGAUGACGGCCUUCGGGUUGUAAACCACUUUCGACUGUGACGAAGCGUUAGUGACGGUAAUGAGUAAAGAAGCACCGGCUAACUACGUG